GAUGAACGCUGGCGGCGUGCCUAAUACAUGCCAGUCGAGCGAACAGACGAGGAGCUUGCUCCUCUGACGUUAGCGGCGGACGGGUGAGUAACACGUGGAUAACCUACCUAUAAAACUGGGAUAACUUCGGGAAACCGGAGCUAAUACCGGAUAAUAUAUUGAACCGCAUGGUUCAAUAGUGAAAGACGGUUUUGCUGUCACUUAUAGAUGGAUCCGCGCCGCAUUAGCUAGUUGGUAAGGUAACGGCUUACCAAGGCAACGAUGCGUAGCCGACCUGAGAGGGUGAUCGGCCACACUGGAACUGAGACACGGUCCAGACUCCUACGGGAGGCAGCAGUAGGGAAUCUUCCGCAAUGGGCGAAAGCUUGACGGAGCAACGCCGCGUGAGUGAUGAAGGUCUUCGGAUCGUAAAACUCUGUUAUUAGGGAAGAACAUAUGUGUAAGUAACUAUGCACGUCUUGACGGUACCUAAUCAGAAAGCCACGGCUAACUACGUG
This 497-nucleotide ribosomal RNA is filed under the name uncultured bacterium. RNAcentral describes it as "partial 16S ribosomal RNA". It matches the Rfam family "Bacterial small subunit ribosomal RNA", at positions 28 to 507 of the family's 1533-position model. The record is from RNAcentral.